This 1219-nucleotide long non-coding RNA is filed under the name Felis catus (domestic cat). RNAcentral describes it as "lncRNA (ENSFCAG00000047065.1)". The record is from RNAcentral. Lineage: Eukaryota; Metazoa; Chordata; Mammalia; Carnivora; Felidae.
GCAGGCUCCAGGCUCUGAGCGGUCAGCACAGAGCCCGACGCGGGGCUUGAACUCACGGACCGCGAGAUCAUGACCUGAGCCGAAGUCGGCCACUUAACCGACUGAGCCACCCAGGUGCCCUGAGUUGGUUUACUUUUCAUCACACGCCCCAUAAUUCUAGAAACUUAAAGGGACAAGUGUCUUGCCUUAUCACUGAUGCUCCUGUCUUACCGUCUGGGUGGAAGGCGGGAGGUUCACUGCUGCACCUGAUUGCUGGGUCUGACUUAGAGAAGCUUGUUCCCACGAUGGCACCGGGGACAGUGGGAGAGCACAGGUGUCGGAGCCAGGCAACCGAAGCUCAUCAUCCCAGCUGACCCCCCCACUACGUGGGCUCCACUGUAAAUCACUUCACUGAGCCAGUUUCCUCAUCUGCAGCACAGAGGCCAACAUCCUUACAGACUGUAGAAUCGCUAAAUAAAAAAGAACACACAUCCAGCAUCCUGAUGCGUGCGAAGUUAGUACUUUUCGUGAGAACCGUCAGUUGGAAGAGGUUAUCCACGACGAAGAGACGAUCAUCAGGAUCUAUGCGCUGAUUAUUUAAUUCACGUGUUAAACCCGACUCAACAGACGGCUAUGAAACGAAACUUAAAACGAUCCUGGCCUCGCUGCAGACACCGUCUCACCCUUGUCGCCGUGUUUCGGGGGCCAGCACAGCACCUGACACGCAGUACAUCGUCCGUGGACCCCACUGCGCUGCUUGGAAUCGCAUCCCUCGGCAUUGCUCGACCUCAGGGCUGCCGGCACUUUGACGGAGAUGUCCAGCUCACAACCAGAGCCAUAUCUGAUCCUCGUUUUCCCUUGAAAGCAUCAGGAGAUGCUUAGGCCUGUGGCAGGAAUCAGCGUCUACUCUGAUUUCAUUUCAGCGACUUAGUCUCCAGGGGGUCUUUCUGGAUUCACUCCGCUCUUCAGACUCAGGCUGACUCAGGUCCGUCCCUUCAGAGGUGCGCGCUGAGAACCCCUCCUGAAGCAGAUUGAAUAACCAAUCACCCGGAUGCUCAAAUCCACCAGCGCCUUGAGUGUGGGCUCCUUCCUGAGGGGCCUUCUCGCUCUUUCUCCAACUCAGCAACACGCUCUACAAGGCCCAGCUGGAAUUCGUCAGUGAACUGCUGAGCGGUGUGAGCCUUCUCUGACAGCUUCGAUUAUCCGCUCGAGGAAUAAAAACAAAAGUCAGGAAGACGCA